AGAAACUUAGGAUAAUCAAAACCGAAGGCCUUCAAAGCCUUAAACAAGAGCUAGACCCUCUUAGUUUCUG
This 70-nucleotide transfer RNA is filed under the name Podilymbus podiceps. Its description in RNAcentral is "tRNA-Trp". It matches the Rfam family "tRNA". Rfam says of the family: Transfer RNA (tRNA) molecules are approximately 80 nucleotides in length. Lineage: Eukaryota; Metazoa; Chordata; Aves; Podicipediformes; Podicipedidae. The record is from RNAcentral.